CUGACGCCGGGCGGCUUCGCCGUGAUGCAGCCUGGCACGCCGCACUUCGCCUGGACCGACCGGGAGACGGUGGUGCAGAUCCACAGCGUCGGGCCA
This 96-nucleotide transfer RNA is filed under the name Allostella sp. ATCC 35155. Its description in RNAcentral is "Stella sp. ATCC 35155 tRNA-Ala". The record is from RNAcentral. Lineage: Bacteria; Pseudomonadati; Pseudomonadota; Alphaproteobacteria; Rhodospirillales; Allostellaceae.